Molecule: transfer RNA, 91 nt
Filed under: Nitrososphaerota archaeon
Lineage: Archaea; Thermoproteati; Nitrososphaerota
Description: Thaumarchaeota archaeon tRNA-Lys
Rfam family: tRNA
About the family: Transfer RNA (tRNA) molecules are approximately 80 nucleotides in length. Their secondary structure includes four short double-helical elements and three loops (D, anti-codon, and T loops).
Source: RNAcentral
GGGCCCGUGGCUCAGUCAGGUCAGAGAAAGAUUCGACAAAAGCGGCUGGCUCUUAACCAGCAUGUCGUGGGUUCAAAUCCCACCGGGCCCG